This is a small nuclear RNA of Callithrix jacchus (white-tufted-ear marmoset), 102 nucleotides long. NCBI's taxonomy places the organism in Eukaryota, Metazoa, Chordata, Mammalia, Primates, Cebidae. The record is from Ensembl.
UUGCUUUGGCAGCACAUAUGCUAAAAUUGGAAUGAUAUAGAAAGAUUAGUAUGGCUCCUGCUCAAGAAUGACACUCAAAUUCGUGAAGUGUUCCAUAUUUUU